This is a long non-coding RNA of Cotesia glomerata, 226 nucleotides long. RefSeq lists it as uncharacterized. The record is from RefSeq and is a predicted model, not a curated record. The transcript has 2 exons. NCBI's taxonomy places the organism in Eukaryota, Metazoa, Arthropoda, Insecta, Hymenoptera, Braconidae.
UUCGAGAUGCGCGCGCAUCCAAUUUUAAUUUCUUCACCGUACGGUGCUGCCGCCACCGGAGAUUCUGGAGUUUUAAAUAAUUGAGAGGGAAAGUUGUCGGUACAGCUGAUACUUAACGGACAAUAAUUUAAACAUACCACGUCAAGUUAUUUAGACAAAUGUCAGCGAGGUGACAGCUGUCAUUUUGGGGUUAGUCAGCUGUUGCCAAAUUUAGAAUGUUCUGGGG